ACGCUUUUUGUGGCCAGUCCGGUCAACAGCAGUGUACAGAGGAUUUGAAGGUAUUUAUCAUCUUCAAGUGACAAGGUAUGGAUGUGAUAUACAGGCUUUAAGAUGGUACUCCUGCUUUUAUGGAGAUUAUGAAGACUGUUAGUGUCCUUGUUAGUUGAUCAAGUUAUGUUACCUCACACAAGCGCUCCUUCUGACGACAUCUUGACAAAUUCUUAGGUUUUCAUAUUUUUUAUGGUGUUAAUUAUCAUAGAACACCAGUUGCACCGAAACAAUAAAAUAGGAAUUCUUUACAUUUUCAAGAAUAAAUUUUUGCAAUGCAGUUUAGCAUAUAUGGUUCACAAAGAAUGGUUC
Long non-coding RNA from Dioscorea cayenensis subsp. rotundata (Guinea yam), 351 nucleotides. RefSeq lists it as uncharacterized. The record is from RefSeq and is a predicted model, not a curated record. NCBI's taxonomy places the organism in Eukaryota, Viridiplantae, Streptophyta, Magnoliopsida, Dioscoreales, Dioscoreaceae. The transcript has 3 exons.